RNAcentral lists this ribosomal RNA (315 nucleotides) under Alcimochthes limbatus. RNAcentral describes it as "partial 12S ribosomal RNA". Lineage: Eukaryota; Metazoa; Arthropoda; Arachnida; Araneae; Thomisidae. The record is from RNAcentral.
AGGUAGUAAAAAAUUAACUUUAAACCUAUUUAUAACGGCGGCAUUUAAUCUUUUUAGAGGAAUCUGUUUCUUAAUUGACAAUCCACAAUAAUUUUCACUUUAAAUAAAAACUUAUAUACCGCCAUCUAAAGAAUUAGAUUUGACAAUUUAUUCCUAAUAAAAAUUAAAAAGUUAGGUCAAGGUGUAGUUUAUAUUAAAGUUUUAAUGGAUUACCUUAAAAACAUUUAAGGAUUAAUAAAAUUCAUUUAUUUAUAAAAAAGGAUUUAAAAGUAAUAAGAUAACAAUAUUUUCUUAUAAAUAAGAUAAUAAAUGUGC